Molecule: long non-coding RNA, 2249 nt
Organism: Daucus carota subsp. sativus
Lineage: Eukaryota; Viridiplantae; Streptophyta; Magnoliopsida; Apiales; Apiaceae
Exons: 3
Source: RefSeq, a predicted model, not a curated record
CUUAACUCGGUUAUAACUUCAUCGUAGAUACUCUAGUUUAGUUGCUUGCAGUUGUGGUCAAAUAAAGUCAACGCAAAAUGCUGCCUCCCCAGCGAGCAUCAUCCGACUCCACGUACACCACCAUCCCCGUCUCCUUCUCCGCCGCCAUUUCCCGAUCCUUCCAGAACCUCUCCACCACUUACUCCCGCCAACGUCCCUGGCCGGAAUUCCUCGCCUCCGCCUCCGAAUGCUCCCGUCCCGACUCCCUCGCCGGCGCCACGUCACGCCUCCGUCUCAACUCCAAGUACUUCGGCAUCAAUUACGCCAUCGUCAUCACCUUAUGCGGCGCCUUUUCGCUUCUGGGCUCUCCCCUAUAUCUCUUGCUAAUUGCCUCUGUUUUCUUCUUGUGGCUGUUGCUUUGGUUCAGCAGAGAGGAUCAGAUUGUGAUUGGGGGCCACCAUAUUUCUGAGCAGGCGGUGAUGAUCGGAUUAGCGGUGGUUAGUGUGGCGGUGCUUUGGUUUACGGGGGUUUUCAAUACUUUGUUGAUUGGGGUCAGUGUCGGAAUUUUGAUUGUGGCUGUACAUUGUAUGCUUCGUAUUCCCGAGGGUGUGUUUCUUGAUGAGAAUGAUGCGGUUCAUUCGGGGUUGAUCAACGCUCAAUCCACUCCCAGUGUUAAUAGAGUUUAGGAUUUCCCGAGCUAGAUGUACCGAGUAUGUUUAAUUUGGUUUUGUUGUGUAAUGAAUGAUCAUUUUAUUAUGAAUUGUAUGUUUUGGUAUUGGCCCUUUUUUGUUGUUAUAAUAAUACUGAUUGGUUUUUGUGGAAAUUUGGAAUUUGAUGUGUAGUUUGUCCGAAGAAUAGUCUUGUGACAAAUGAUGAUUGAAGUUAAAAAUCUCAUGUAUAGUUUGUUCGUAGGGAGAUCAGGUGACAAUUGAAAAUGAUUCUUGUUUAAAAUUACAUGUAUUGUAAGAUCAUGAGAUUAUGAUUCUUGUUUAAUAUUUUAUUUAUAGCUUGUUCGUAGAAAGGUCAUGUGACAAAUAAAAAUUCUACAAGAUUUUAGUUUUAAAUUUUAUGUAUAGUAUCUUCGUGGAAAUGUGAUAAAUAAUAGUUCUGCAAAUAUCUAUAUUAUGAGCGGGAUUAUAGUGUGUAUAUUUGUUCUAAUUUGCUAUGCAGUGGAAUGAAUUAUUUUGUGGAGCUGUUUGUGCAAUUCUAUUUAUAUAAUUUGUUUGGGUGUUGUUUUUCUUUUUCAUGAUCGUACCGGUUCAUUUAUUGUAUUUUUUGAAAUUCAGAAUAGUAUAUGCGGUUCGUACUUGUAUGGCCUUGUGACAUUGACAAAGCUGUAGGACCAAGAUUUGAAUAAUUGAAAAUACCCAGGUGAAGGCUGGUCCUUUUCUUCAAACAGGCCAAAUGAUGUAGGUACAGCAAAUGCCAAAUGGGUUGCAGUGGAAAAAGGAGUUUUUUUCUUUCCGUUUUAAAUGCUUGAUCUUAAGAUUCCAGCAAUGAAACUCGAGAUGCCUGUAAAGCCGUAAGGAGUGAAUAGCCGGGAGUAUAUCACAUAUGGACUAUAAGUCUGCACACAUUUGCUGAUUUUGAAAUGAAGAUGCAGUGUGAAGCUUAUUCUUUGGAAAAUAGGUACAAUAUGAAAGGAUACUUGGUCUGAAAUCUGUCAUGCAUAACUGGUAAUUGGCAGCUGGAUACUGUAAGAUCUGACCACUUAUUAUCUUGAGUAUAAAGUGAAGCUCAAUUUCGACCCUUUAUUUCUUUUUGUGAGUCUUCAAUAGACAUCCUUUUAUAUCUCACAUCACUAUGCAAUUCAACUGGGGGAGUCCUAAAUGUUAUAAGACCCCGGAUAAGGUCCCUUGUUUCUAUAAGUAAAGUGUUGAUUGUUUGACUUCAAAUUUUUGUUUGUUCUAUAUAAGUAUUUGUUACUAUUAUUAGCAAAAGUUUACGAGCCUAUAUGUGAAGUAGUUAGCGAGCUGAGAUUUAUUGUGUUCUAGCUCAGCUAAACUGUUAUGACCCCAGCUCAAGACAACACCGUGCCACUUAGGGCAACUCCAACCCAACACCAAAACACCAUUUUGGUGUCAAAUUUGGUGUCAAAUUCACUCCAACCCAACAUCAAAUUGGUGUAAAGUUGACACCAAAUGAAUUGGUUGACACCAAAUUUGGUGUCAAGUAUUGAUUUGGUGCAACUUUUACACCAAAUUUGGAGUUUUCCAAAAUACCUACUAUACCCUCACAUAUGUUAAUGAAAACAAAAUUAUUCCAUCUAU